This is a small nucleolar RNA of Cotesia glomerata, 100 nucleotides long. NCBI's taxonomy places the organism in Eukaryota, Metazoa, Arthropoda, Insecta, Hymenoptera, Braconidae. The record is from RefSeq and is a predicted model, not a curated record.
UUCACGUGAUGCCUAGCCAUGCUAAUACUGAGAGAUCUUAUUAAUAUUAUUAAUAAGGAUCUCGCUGAGUUGAAAUCACUUCAAUAAUAAACUGAUUAUC